UCGCUUCAGUACACAGUGUGUAUCCUUGGUAUCAUGUGCAUAUAGGUUUAAUAAGUGAUCCCAUUGCACAUGAUAGUGGGGCUACAAGCUGUGGCAAUACUGC
Saccoglossus kowalevskii is the source of this 103-nucleotide non-coding RNA. Lineage: Eukaryota; Metazoa; Hemichordata; Enteropneusta; Harrimaniidae. The record is from RefSeq and is marked provisional.